Molecule: non-coding RNA, 2077 nt
Organism: Oryctolagus cuniculus (rabbit)
Lineage: Eukaryota; Metazoa; Chordata; Mammalia; Lagomorpha; Leporidae
Source: RefSeq, a predicted model, not a curated record
UCAAUUUCUUUCUUUCUUUCUUUCUUUCUUUCUUUCUUUCUUUCUUUCUUUCUUUCUUUCUUUCUUUCUUUCUUUCUUUUUUGACAGGCAGAGUGGACAGUGAGAGAGAGAGACAGAGAGAAAGGUCUUCCUUUGCCGUUGGUUCACCCUCCAAUGGCUGCCACGGCUGGCUGCGGUCGGCGCACCACGGCCGGCGCACUGCGCUGAUCAGAUGGCAGGAGCCAGGUACUUCUCCUGGUCUCCCAUGGGGUGCAGGGCCCAAGUACUUGGGCCAUCCUCCACUGCACUCCCGGGCCAUAGCAGAGAGCUGGCCUGGAAGAGGGGCAACCGGGACAGAAUCCGGCGCCCCAACCAGGACUAGAACAUGGUGUGUUGGCGCCGCAAGGCGGAGGAUUAGCCUCGUGAGCUGCGGCGCCGGCCUUCAAUUUCUUUUUAGUUCUAGUUUUUUGUGUUGCUUCUUUUUAAAGCUGUUUCCUUUAUUUUUAAUCAUCAGCAUUAUUUUUAGGAAAUUUUCUGUGUUCUCUACUUCCUUCUGCCUCAUUUCUAAUACCAGGGCAUAUAAGUUAUGUGUGAAAUACUUGAGGAAACUAACUUUAUAAGGACAAAAGUUUUAUUUAGCUCAGAGUUGUGAAGGUUCAAAGUCCAAGAUCCGAUGGACCUCUGGUGAGGGUGGGGAUAGCAAUGGAGGGAGCAGGUGUUGGAAUGAGCAGGCACAUCUAUACCCAGGCAGCCAGGAGAGACUGGGUUCAAGCUAGGAUUGUUUCUUAUCAGUCUUCUAAUGACAACUGCUUUCCUAGGGCAUACUCACAAAGACCUAAACACUUCCCACUCUACUCUGCCUCCUACAGGUUGCAUCAGCUCCCAGCAGUGCCUCCCUGGGAACCAAGCCUCUAAUUAUGGAUCUUUGAAUGAGAACCAGUACUAUCCAAACCAUAGCAUUGUGUAAAGACUUUGGAGAGUUUUAACUUACUUUAUGCCUUUUGACUCCACAAAAAGCAUUAUCACAAUGUUGACUUUGUAUGUAAGCAUUGUGCAUGUACAUGAAAAUUUUAAAACUUCCUCAAUAAAUGAAGAGAAGUCCUUUUUUUACAUCUGCCUUUGUGAAAGUCUUUCAACAAAUGAUACUGAGACGACUAGAAAUCCAUACGCCAAAGAACGAUGAUGACCCUUAACUCAAGAUGGGUUAAAAAAAGGUGGUCAGAACAAUAAAAUUCAUAGAAGAAGAAGAACAUAUACAAUAAAACCAUUAUGACUUUGUGGGAAAGUGUGAUCUCAGCUCUCAUGGAACUCUGGUCUGAAAGAAACCGCUGCACCCGUCCUUAGGGAGUGUCCUGUCUGAGAGAGGAGAGAGGAACAUUUCUGAGUCCAGAAUCGAAAGGAUUCUGGCCUUGUGGAAUAGUUCAAGAGCAGGUGCAUGACCGAGGACUCGUGUAUUGAAUGUUCUGCCAUGGACUUUGAAUUUGAGUGACUGACCAAAGACACAGGGACAUCUGGAAGUCACAUUAAUCACAGAAGUUGGGAGGUGUGCACUGUGUGAUUCCUGGGACGAGUUCCUGCCAUACCUGAGCUGUCAGAUACUUGUGUUUUAUCAUGGACUGAAAGGCAAGUGCAAGGUAAUGGAUAUUUACCAAGUUUAUAACAUUAUUGAGGCAUAAUUAACAUAAAGUGAAAUUAAUAAUUAUCUCAUGUGACAUUUACAAUUGAGAAAAAUUAUGUUAAAAACUAGGGCUUCAUUAUAAAAUAUGAAAAUAUUUGACUUAAAAAACUGGACUUGAGGGACCAGUGCUGUGGCACAGUGGGUUAAAGCCCCAGCCUGCAGUGCCAGCAUACCAUAUGGGUGCCGAUUUGAGUCCUGGUUGCUCCACUUCCAAUCCAGCUUCCUGCCAAUGCACCUGGGAAAGCAGUGGAGGAUGGCCCAAGUCCUUAGGCCCCUGCACCCAUGUAGGAGACCCAGAGGAGGCUCCUAGCUUUGGAUUCAGAUAGGUUCAGCUCAGGCCAUUGCGACCAUCUGGGGAGUGAAUCAGUGGAUAAAAAUCUCCCUCACUCUGUUUCUAUCUCUCUUCUCUGUAACUCUAUC